This 201-nucleotide ribosomal RNA is filed under the name uncultured bacterium. Its description in RNAcentral is "partial 16S ribosomal RNA". It matches the Rfam family "Bacterial small subunit ribosomal RNA", at positions 328 to 539 of the family's 1533-position model. The record is from RNAcentral.
ACGCUCGACACCUACGGGAGGAGCAGUGGGGAAUAUUGCACAAUGGGGGAAACCCUGAUGCAGCGACGCCGCGUGGAGGAAGAAGGUCUUCGGAUUGUAAACUCCUGUUGUUGGGGAAAAAGAGGAUGGUACCCAACAAGGAAGUGACGGCUAACUACGUGCCAGCAGCCGGACGGUAAUCUGAGGCGGGCUGGACAAGGC